GCCGAGCGGUAUUCUGGAUUUAUUCAGGAGAGAGCGGCGUACGGGUGCGUAACACGUGUGCAACCUACCUUUAUCAGGGGAAUAGCCUUUCGAAAGGAAGAUUAAUACUCCAUAAUAUAUUAGAUGGCAUCAUUUAAUAUUGAAAACUCCGGUGGAUAAAGAUGGGCACGCGCAAGAUUAGAUAGUUGGUGAGGUAACGGCUCACCAAGUCAAUGAUCUUUAGGGGUCCUGAGAGGGAGAUCCCCCACACUGGUACUGAGACACGGACCAGACUCCUACGGGAGGCAGCAGUGAGGAAUAUUGGACAAUGGGUGAAAGCCUGAUCCAGCCAUCCCGCGUGAAGGAUGACGGUCCUAUGGAUUGUAAACUUCUUUUGUAUAGGAAUAAACCUUUCUACGUGUAGAAAGCUGAAGGUACUAUACGAAUAAGCACCGGCUAACUCCGUGCCAGCAGCCGCGGUAAUACGGAGGGUGCAAGCGUUAUCCGGAUUUAUUGGGUUUAAAGGGUCCGUAGGCGGACCGAUAAGUCAGUGGUGAAAUCUCAUAGCUUAACUAUGAAACUGCCAUUGAUACUGUCGGUCUUGAGUAAAUUAGAGGUAGCUGGAAUAAGUAGUGUAGCGGUGAAAUGCAUAGAUAUUACUUAGAACACCAAUUGCGAAGGCAGGUUACCAUGAUUUAACUGACGCUGAGGUACGAAAGCGUGGGGAGCGAACAGGAUUAGAUACCCUGGUAGUCCACGCCGUAAACGAUGCUAACUCGUUUUUGGGGCGCAAGCUUCAGAGACCAAGCGAAAGUGAUAAGUUAGCCACCUGGGGAGUACGUUCGCAAGAAUGAAACUCAAAGGAAUUGACGGGGGCCCGCACAAGCGGUGGAUUAUGUGGUUUAAUUCGAUGAUACGCGAGGA
This 903-nucleotide ribosomal RNA is filed under the name uncultured Chryseobacterium sp. RNAcentral describes it as "bacterial SSU rRNA". It matches the Rfam family "Bacterial small subunit ribosomal RNA", at positions 61 to 967 of the family's 1533-position model. The record is from RNAcentral. Lineage: Bacteria; Pseudomonadati; Bacteroidota; Flavobacteriia; Flavobacteriales; Weeksellaceae.